AGUAGUUAGUGUUUAGAUUUGGGAAAAAUGUUAUUUAAUACCUAACUUUCAAAAAGUGGCCAAAUUAACCGUGAAUUCUUGAAAUGGCCGUUUUAUAGCUCAACAAAAAGUUGACUUCUAAUUUAACCUAUAAUUUAUCGUUGACCCGGCCAAAUCGACUCAUUGUUAACACUUCUUAACAGCUCUCCUAACAGCGUAACUAACAACUGUUUUCGUCCUUAAACCAACGAUAACUGCUGUUAGGCCAUGUUUUGUAACGGCUGUUAGAAGUGCUGUUAAGGAGUGUUAACGGUGAGUCGAUUUGGCCGGGUCAACGAUAAAUUAUAGGUUAAAUUAGAAGUCAACGAUAAAUUAUAGGUUAAAUUAGAAAUCAACUUUUUGUUGAGGUAUAAAACGACCAUUUCAAGAGUUCACGGUUAAUUUGGCCAUUUUUUGAAAGUUCAGGUAUUAAAUAACAUUUUCCCGUUUAGAUUUUACAAUUAAAUGAAAUUAUAUGUCGGUUUAGGUUUAUAAAAGAGCGGUUAGAGUUUAGAUUUUACAGUUAAAUGAAAUUAUAUAAUCUAUUUCUUGCCUAAUUUGAUCAAAUGCUUAUUCUAAAACAAGAAAUUAACUGUGAGUUUUAGUAUUUCGUGUUGAAUUAUA
This 642-nucleotide small RNA is filed under the name Arabidopsis thaliana (thale cress). Its description in RNAcentral is "ATSL082560". The stretch from base 137 to 318 matches the Rfam family "MIR5635 microRNA precursor family". Lineage: Eukaryota; Viridiplantae; Streptophyta; Magnoliopsida; Brassicales; Brassicaceae. The record is from RNAcentral.